GACGAACGCUGGCGGCGUGCUUAACACAUGCAAGUCGAACGGAGAGGCCCUGCUUUUGUGGGGUGCUCGAGGGGCGAACGGGUGAGUAACACGUGAGUAACCUGCCCUUGACUUUGGGAGAACUUCAGGAAAGUGGGGCUAAUACCGGAUAGGAGCUCCUGCUGCAUGGUGGGGGUUGGAAAGUGUCGGCGGUUGGGGAUGGACUCGCGGCUUAUCAGCUUGUUGGUGGGGUAGUGGCUUACCAAGGCUUUGACGGGUAGCCGGCCGGAGAGGGUGAGCGGACACACUAGGACUGGGAUACGGCCCAGCCUACUACCGGAGGCAGCGGUGGGGAAGAUUGCACCAUGGGCGGGAGCCUGAUGCAGCGAAGCCGCGUGGGGGAAGACGGCCAUUGGGUUGUUAACCGCUUUCGCCUGUGCCGAAGCGUGAGUGACGGUAAUGGGUAAAGAAGCCCCGGCUAACUACGUG
Molecule: ribosomal RNA, 468 nt
Filed under: uncultured bacterium
Lineage: Bacteria
Description: partial 16S ribosomal RNA
Rfam family: Bacterial small subunit ribosomal RNA
Source: RNAcentral